ACCUCGUGAUCCGCCCGUCUCAGCCUCCCGAAGUGCUGGGAUUACAGGCUUGAGCCACCGCGCCCGGCCAACUAUCCAAUUUCAAUUUUCAGAAGGAUCACAGUGGCUUCUGGAUGGAGAGGCUAAAGAGGGAGGAGAUAUGAACAGAAGCCAGUUGGAAGGUCAUUGCAGAAUUCAAGUGAAAUGUAAUGGCAGCCAGGUUAAGUAGGAGGAGGAGUGGUGUGGGAGAGAGUCACACUGAUGAAUAUAAUCGUAGUUUCAUUUUCACUUCCAGACUGAUCCUUUUAUUGUCAUCCCACUAUUCUGCUUUGAACUGCUAAUGAACAGUCGGAUUUUCCCAUUUUUCCUGAUGAUGAGCAGUGCUGCUGUAAGGUGUACGUGCCUUCUGGAGCACUCGAAACAAUCAACACAGAAAUCCUCAAGAGGCAGCUUUCCUGUACAUUUCAGUUUCUCCUAAAACAGAAGAGGGCUGAGAAUGCUUACUGAGGAAUCAUCCAAGCAUGUCUUUCUGUCAUGACAAGAGCAAUUCCAGUGUGCUUCAUGAGACCCUGCUUCUCUCGCUGCAUUUGGUUUUCAGGUUGCAAGAUUUGAAAAACGCUUGUCAAAACCCGACAGUUAUUUCUGUUUUCAAGGGCAGUUUGAUCUGCAUUUUCUUCCAGUCCAUUCAUUUCUCUCUGGUUUGGCCUCCAAGGUCUUAAUCUUUUGCCCAAGAAAAGCCCUUACAUUUAAGCAACAUGAGUUCCUUGAUUUAUCUUUAGCCCACUGCUACUUUCCUGAGUUCAGAAUAAAAGCUGAUUAUUAUUAUUA
This is a long non-coding RNA of Macaca mulatta (Rhesus monkey), 807 nucleotides long. RefSeq lists it as uncharacterized. Lineage: Eukaryota; Metazoa; Chordata; Mammalia; Primates; Cercopithecidae. The record is from RefSeq and is a predicted model, not a curated record.